RNAcentral lists this ribosomal RNA (1727 nucleotides) under Mollicutes bacterium. RNAcentral's name for it is "partial 23S ribosomal RNA". It matches the Rfam family "Bacterial large subunit ribosomal RNA", at positions 1 to 1726 of the family's 2925-position model. The record is from RNAcentral. Lineage: Bacteria; Bacillati; Mycoplasmatota; Mollicutes.
UGAUUAAAUUGCUAAGGGCGCAUGGUGAAUGCCUUGGCACUAGAAGCUGAUGAAGGACGCGACAAACAGCGAUAUGCUUCGGGGAGCAGUUAAGUAUGCUUCGAUCCGGAGAUCUCCGAAUGAGGAAACUCACCUAUGGUAAUGCGUAGGUACUGCAUAAUGAAUACAUAGUUAUGUAGAAGCAACCCGGUGAACUGAAACAUCUUAGUAACCGGAGGAAGAGAAAGAAAAAUCGAUUUCCCUAGUAGUGGCGAGCGAAAAGGAAAGAGCCCAAACCAGUCUUAGGACUGGGGUUGUAGGACCUUAUAUUAAAGAGUUACAAAUUUAUGAUAUAGUUGAAUUAGUUGGGAAGCUAAACUAUAGAAGGUGAUAGUCCUGUAAACGAAAUGUCAUAAACUCUAUAGGGUAUCCUGAGUACGGCGGGGCACGUGAAACCUUGCCGGAAUCUACGGGGACCAUCCCGUAAGGCUAAAUACUCUCUAGUGACCGAUAGUGAACAAGUACCGUGAGGGAAAGGUGAAAAGAACCCCGGGAGGGGAGUGAAAUAGAAUCUGAAACCAUGUGCUUACAAGAAGUCAAAGCCCGUUAAUGGGUGAUGGCGUGCCUUUUGCAGAAUGAACCGGCGAGUUAUUGUAUCAUGCGAGGUUAAGUUGAAGAAACGGAGCCGAAGCGAAAGCGAGUCUGAAUAGGGCGAUUUAGUAUGAUGCAGUAGACCCGAAACCGAGUGAUCUAUCCAUGAGCAGGUUGAAGUUUAGGUGAAACUAAAUGGAGGACCGAACCGACUUACCUGGAAACGUGAGCGGAUGACUUGUGGAUAGGGGUGAAAUUCCAAUCGAACUCGGAGAUAGCUGGUUCUCCCCGAAAUAGGUUUAGGCCUAGCCUUGAACUAUAGCCCUUUGGAGGUAGAGCACUGAAUACACAAUGGCGGCAUCUAGCCGUACUGAGUGUAAUCAAACUCCGAAUGCCAAAGUAAGUUUGUUCAGGAGUCAGUGUAUGGGUGAUAACGCCCUUACGCGAGAGGAAAAGAAUCCAGAUCGCCAGCUAAGGUCCCUAAAUAUAUGCUAAGUGGGAAAGGAUGUGGAGUUGUCAAAACAGCUAGGAGGUUGGCUUAGAAGCAGCCACCCUUUAAAGAGUGCGUAAUAGCUCACUAGUCGAGUGACACUGCGCCGAAGAUGUACCGGGGCUAAGCAUAUUACCGAAGCUGCGAACUUUACUGUAUGGUAAAGUGGUAGGGGAGCGUUCUAAGGGCAAUGAAGGCAGAUCGUGAGGACUGCUGGAGCGCUUAGAAGUGAGAAUGCCGGUAUGAGUAGCGCAAGACGGGUGAGAAUCCCGUCCACCGUUUGCCCAAGGUUUCCUGGGGAAGGCUCGUCCUCCCAGGGUAAGUCAGGACCUAAGGCCAGGCCGAAAGGCGUAGUCGAUGGACAACAGGUUUAUAUUCCUGUACCACCUAUAUAACUGAUGGAGUGACGAAGAAGGCUAGGAGGAGCCAGUUAAUGGAUUCUGGUCUAAACACAAAGGUUUGUAUAUUGGUAAAUCCGUAUACUGUACAACUGAAGUGUGAUGGUGAAGGUAGCAUAAAGCUACUGAAAUCCUCUGACGCCAAGCUUCCGAGAAAAGCUUCUAGGGUUAAUUAUAUAGGUGCCUGUACCGAGAACCGACACAGGUGGGCAAGGAGAGUAUCCUAAGGUGAGCGAGAGAACUAUGGUUAAGGAACUCGGCAAAAUGAC